UACAGAGGAUGCGAGCGUUAAUCGGAAUUACUGGGCGUAAAGCGCGCGUAGGCGGCCAACUAAGUCAGACGUGAAAUCCCUCGGCUUAACCGGGGAACUGCGUCUGAUACUGGAUGGCUUGAGUUUGGGAGAGGGAUGCGGAAUUCCAGGUGUAGCGGUGAAAUGCGUAGAUAUCUGGAGGAACACCGGUGGCGAAGGCGGCAUCCUGGACCAACACUGACGCUGAGUGAGCGAAAGCCAGGGGAGCAAACGGG
RNAcentral lists this ribosomal RNA (254 nucleotides) under uncultured bacterium. Its description in RNAcentral is "partial 16S ribosomal RNA". It matches the Rfam family "Bacterial small subunit ribosomal RNA", at positions 524 to 776 of the family's 1533-position model. The record is from RNAcentral.